RNAcentral lists this ribosomal RNA (253 nucleotides) under uncultured bacterium. RNAcentral describes it as "partial 16S ribosomal RNA". It matches the Rfam family "Bacterial small subunit ribosomal RNA", at positions 524 to 776 of the family's 1533-position model. The record is from RNAcentral.
UACGGGGGGGGCAAGCGUUGUUCGGAAUUACUGGGCGUAAAGGGCUCGUAGGCGGCCAACUAAGUCAGACGUGAAAUCCCUCGGCUUAACCGGGGAACUGCGUCUGAUACUGGAAGGCUUGAAUCCGGGAGAGGGAUGUGGAAUUCCAGGUGUAGCGGUGAAAUGCGUAGAUAUCUGGAGGAACACCGGUGGCGAAGGCGACAUCCUGGACCGGUAUUGACGCUGAGGCGCGAAAGCCAGGGGAGCAAACGGG